AAAACAUCGCCUCUUGCAAAACUAACGAAUAAGAGGUCCCGCCUGCCCAGUGACUAUGGGUUCAACGGCCGCGGUAUUUUGACCGUGCAAAGGUAGCGCAAUCACUUGUCUUUUAAAUGGAGACCUGUAUGAAUGGCAUCACGAGGGCUUAGCUGUCUCCUUUUUCCAGCCAAUGAAAUUGAUCUUUCCGUGCAGAAGCGGGAAUAAUAACAUAAGACGAGAAGACCCUAUGGAGCUUUAGACACUAAGGCAGAUCACGUCAAACACCCCAGUUUAAUGGGCUGAACUAAGUGAACUCUCCCCUAAUGUCUUUGGUUGGGGCGACCCUGGGGAAAUAAACAACCCCCAUGUGGAAUGGAAACACCAUAUUUCCAGAACUAAGAGCUAACCCCUCUAAGGAGCAGAAUUUCUGACCAUUUUAGAUCCGGCAACGCCGAUCAGCGGACCGAGUUACCCUAGGGAUAACAGCGCAAUCCUCUUUUAGAGCCCAUAUCGACAAGGGGGUUUACGACCUCGAUGUUGGAUCAGGACAUCCUAAUGGUGCAGCCGCUAUUAAGGGUUCGUUUGUUCAACGAUUAAAGUCCUACGUGA
RNAcentral lists this ribosomal RNA (591 nucleotides) under Pseudolabrus fuentesi. RNAcentral describes it as "partial 16S ribosomal RNA". It matches the Rfam family "Bacterial large subunit ribosomal RNA", at positions 1810 to 2603 of the family's 2925-position model. Lineage: Eukaryota; Metazoa; Chordata; Actinopteri; Labriformes; Labridae. The record is from RNAcentral.